CUCAAUGAUGCUUCUGUUGUGGACUGCAGUGCUGUUUGCUCAGUACACCAAAGGAGAGAUUGUUUUGACUCAGAAGCCAUCGGUGAAAUCUGUUCUCCUUGGAGAUCAAGUCACUCUUGACUGCAUGUCCAGUUCCUCCAGUUUUACUAGCAGCCUGGCUUGGUACCUGCAGAGGCCUGGAGAAAAACCCAAACUCCUGUUUUCUUCAGUGGGUAGCCGAGUGUCUGGGACACCGAGCCGUUUCAGUGACGGCAGAUCUGGGACUGUGUUCUCGCUGACCAUUAAAGGAGUCCAGCCUGAAGACGUGGGUGAUUAUUACUGUCAGCAGUACUAUGAGCUCCCUCUCACACAAUGA
This is a non-coding RNA of Erpetoichthys calabaricus (reedfish), 355 nucleotides long. NCBI's taxonomy places the organism in Eukaryota, Metazoa, Chordata, Cladistia, Polypteriformes, Polypteridae. The record is from the annotation of a RefSeq genome assembly.